This 158-nucleotide small RNA is filed under the name Litoreibacter halocynthiae. RNAcentral describes it as "6S / SsrS RNA". It matches the Rfam family "6S / SsrS RNA". From Rfam's summary of the family: E. coli 6S RNA was the first non coding RNA to be sequenced, but its function was unknown until recently. The record is from RNAcentral. Lineage: Bacteria; Pseudomonadati; Pseudomonadota; Alphaproteobacteria; Rhodobacterales; Roseobacteraceae.
ACGGUUCUGCCCUACGCGUAAUAUGGAAGCUACAUUCCAGCUGCCUUAAGCAAUUCCUCGGGAGCUGGCUCUGUCUGGACCCUGGUUCAGUUACCUGGCGCCCACCUGUACAUACAGGUCUGCGGGAAUAAGCCUCCCACGGUUGUGGUGGUUCCGUC